GCAGAGGGGCCGUGUUCCGGGAACACGUUUCCUGCUCUAAAACGUCCGGUGUGUUCCGGCCCAAGUGCCUGCUCAGGUUUAAAGGGGGUUUCUUUUGCUAGUACUUAAAAAAGUUAAAAAUAAUCACUACUAUUAAAUAGAUCUUUAGUGUGUUUUAAAUGGCAAAAGCACUUCACUCAGAAUUGGUGAUUCUGUUUCAUGCGUGUGUUAAGUGGGGAUAGGUUUGUGGCAAGAGUUGGAUGCUGUUAUCUUGCUGAAUGGAGAAAGUAUAAUUUACUACAUGAUCAUGCUGUGGAGCAUUUCACUGAGUUUCUUCUGGGUGCCUGGAUUUUGUGACCGUUUGGUGGCCUUUAAGAAGAGACUUUAUGUUUUAUUUCAACAGGGUUAACAUAAACAUAGUGUUUUAAGCUUAAAAUGAUGGAAAACCCCUACGUAGAUCUUCCAACGUGGACAUUCCAACAGGAAGCUAUAAAGAGAAGUAAAAGUGACAGCACAUUAUCAGUGAAAAAUAAGACUAGGUUUAAAAAGAAUUACAGACGCUCUUCCAGGUGGCAGACCCGAGUCAGCCAGGAACUGUCAACCUGGAGAUGAAGUGCCUCGCUGGGUGGCCUGCGCAUCAUGUGUGAUGAGGGAAGUGCUCCUGCUGUCACUCAGUCAUGAAUUCCUGUGCGUGGUGGGUUCCAGCAGUCAGCCAGAGGCUAUCAUCAAACUUGUUUUGCUUUGUAUUAAAUUAAACUCACUAGAAACAGUGCAAGGUCAGGAAAGGCAGUUAUCAAGGCCUUCGACCUCUAAGACUUUACAUUUGCUGUGAGUAGACCUUAGCAUGCCAGGAGAAGUUUCUCAUCAAAACCCAGCUUCCAUCAGCAAAGACAGGAGGAAGCCAAGUCAGGACCAGAGCCCCCUCUCUCCUGUAGACGGAGGAUACAUUCAGGAACUCAGAACCUGGAGGAGAGAAUGUUCAAACCAGAAGGCCCCUGGAAGACUGUGCCUGAAACGCGGCUAAGGCACCACCAGGCUGAACAGAAAACGGGGGCCUUAUCAGAGAGAAGGGAAGGGCCCCAUAGUCCAAACGCCCAGGAGGCUCCGACCUGACCCGCGGCCACGAGUGUUUGCUGCAGGACGAGAAUCUGGGGAAGAUGCAGCCAAGAAAAUGGCCUGGCCGGGCCGGGAAGAGCAGCCCACAGAGACCCGCAGCACAGAGAGGGAUGCGGGGAGCCUGCCCUGGGAGCCACCCCGGCUGAGGCUCAGGAGGGGAGCUGCGAAGCCUGAAACCCAUCGAUGAUGGCUGGUGAUGAAAACAUGUGGGUGGACCUGCUUUGAUGGCGAGAUGGACAGGUCUGAGCUCACACAUCCUCGGGAAAACAAAUAAAACUCUGUGGAAAUGGACAUGAGACACUGGGCCCUCAUUCCCCAACUUGUAGAGAUGACUGAGAAAAGCUUCCAGAAACUCGAGGACAUCACAACUUCCAGCUGGGUCAAACUCAGGGUGCUGUGAGGCCUGGGCAGAGAGACCCCCAGGGUUUCCCAGGGAUGGCGGAGUCUCUGGAGGAAGGAGACACCAUGAAGAUGGGGAUGGAAGCUGCCUGCCCCAUGGAGAGGGGAGGGGGCCGGCCACUCUCACCCCUCGAACAAAAACCGGGUGGAACCUGAGAGGAGCAAAGAAACAAACACAACCCUCACACACCUCAGGACACACACACAACACCUCACACACCUCAGGACACACACACAACCCUCACACACCUCAGGACACACACACAACUCUCACACACCUCAGGACACACACAUAACCCUCACACACCUCAGGAAAUACACACAUAACCCUCACACACCUCAGGAAAUACACACAACCCUCACACACCUCAGGAAACACACACAACCCUCACACACCUCAGGACACACACAACCCUCACAUACCUCAAGAAACGCACAACCCUCACACGCCUCAGGACACACACACAACACCUCACACACUUCAGGACACACACACAACCCUCACACACCUCAGGACACACAUAACCCCUCACACACCUCAGGACACACACACAACCCUCUCACACCUCAGGACACACAACCCUCACACACCUCAGGACACACACACAACCCUCACACACCUCAGGACACACACAACUUAACACCUCACACACCUCAGGACACACACAACUUAACACCUCACACACCUCAGGACACACACACACAACC
Molecule: long non-coding RNA, 2202 nt
Filed under: Homo sapiens (human)
Lineage: Eukaryota; Metazoa; Chordata; Mammalia; Primates; Hominidae
Description: novel transcript
Source: RNAcentral